Dromaius novaehollandiae (emu) is the source of this 1072-nucleotide long non-coding RNA. RefSeq lists it as uncharacterized. The transcript has 4 exons. The record is from RefSeq and is a predicted model, not a curated record. Lineage: Eukaryota; Metazoa; Chordata; Aves; Casuariiformes; Dromaiidae.
CUCUCUGCCUGCGCCCGCGGCAGGCGGCCGUUGCGCAAGGCUGGGCGCGGGCCCGCGCGCCGCCCCCCGGCCGUUAACGGUCGCCUCGUGCCUGCGCGAAGGCACGUGCACCGGGACCCCUGACCCACCGCGGCGCUUUCGGGGGGGCGGGGCGGGGCGGGGCAGGGAAAGGGCCUCACGGCUACCGCCCCCCCCAUCUGCGAUAAAAUGGAGGCCUGAAGCAUCCACCUGCAGUGGGUGAGGGUGCUCUCUCUCUUCUCCAGGUUGGUAGAGGAAAGCCCUAGAGCUGCCCCUCACUGCUCCUGCCCCCCUCACAGGCCCUGAAGGUGGGCCCGGCUCCCUCAGCAGCUGCCAGUGGCACCUAAGACUUCUAGAAAUGACUGAAAUGAAGAUAGCUGACAGUGUUAUUGUCAACUGUAAAUAUUUCUACUGUUUGACCCCAGAGUUCAGUCUUGGAAGCAGUUGUGUGUGGAAGCAGUUUGGUGUUUCAGGAGUCUCAUUUUUUGAAUGCCUAACCUGAGACAAUCUGAGCAUGAUUUUUAGAAGAGCUAAAUAUCCACAGCAGAAAUCAUUUGGAGCUGUGAGUGCUCAGUGUCUUUGAAAGAGCAUUGGUAUCAGCUCCCACCAUUUGCAAAAUGCCGCUGUGAUCAGCUGUUGAAAACACUAAUGAAAACAACAUCAGCAAUAACAGUUCUUCCAAGGUACUGUAGUUUCUUCACUUUUCCCUCCAUAAGGAUGGACACAGAGUUCAUUCUAACUCCAUCUUGCUUGUGACUGUCACCACUGUUGGCUUGCAAGAUGUUACUAGCCUUAUGCUUAUGUCAGUUACAGCCAGACUGCAUACUCUAACUCCUCUCAUCCAUCAUGAGUGCAAAUAGAAACAAACUAAUCUCUGACCAUCCAUGAUGUGACCAACUUUAUUUGCAAAUAUGUCAACUAAUUUAUCUGCAAAACCAUCAACCAAUUUGAAUGUUACUAUGGCAGUCACAUACAUAUCUGAGAAGAUGGAUGUUCCUUUCUGACACUCCUUUAUAUCACAAACUCUAUGCAGCAAAAUAUCUCGGGGUGCAGC